Molecule: ribosomal RNA, 195 nt
Filed under: uncultured archaeon
Lineage: Archaea
Description: partial 16S ribosomal RNA
Rfam family: Archaeal small subunit ribosomal RNA
Source: RNAcentral
ACCUGACUGCUAUCGGAUUGAUANUAAGCCAUGCGAGUCACUGUAAGCAAUACAAGGCAGACGGCUCAGUAACGCGUAGUCAAUCUACCCUAUGGACGGGAAUAACCUCGGGAAACUGAGAAAUAAUGCCCGAUAGAACAUUAUGCCUGGAAUGGUUUAUGUUUCAAAUGAUUUAUCGCCAUAGGAUGGGACUGC